RNAcentral lists this transfer RNA (72 nucleotides) under Dipodomys ordii (Ord's kangaroo rat). It matches the Rfam family "tRNA". Rfam says of the family: Transfer RNA (tRNA) molecules are approximately 80 nucleotides in length. Their secondary structure includes four short double-helical elements and three loops (D, anti-codon, and T loops). Further hydrogen bonds mediate the characteristic L-shaped molecular structure. tRNAs have two regions of fundamental functional importance: the anti-codon, which is responsible for specific mRNA codon recognition, and the 3' end, to which the tRNAs corresponding amino acid is attached (by aminoacyl-tRNA synthetases). tRNAs cope with the degeneracy of the genetic code in two manners: having more than one tRNA (with a specific anti-codon) for a particular amino acid; and 'wobble' base-pairing, i.e. permitting non-standard base-pairing at the 3rd anti-codon position. The record is from Rfam by way of RNAcentral. Lineage: Eukaryota; Metazoa; Chordata; Mammalia; Rodentia; Heteromyidae.
GGGAAGAUGGCUCAGUGGUAGAGUGCUUGCCUUGCAUGCAUGAGGCCCUGGGUUCGAUUCCACAGCGUCUCA